CGGGGUAUAGCUCAGUUUGGUAGAGUGCAUGACUGGGGGUCAUGAGGCCGCAGGUUCAAGUCCUGUUGCUCCGACCA
This 77-nucleotide transfer RNA is filed under the name Bacillota bacterium. Its description in RNAcentral is "tRNA-Pro". It matches the Rfam family "tRNA". Rfam says of the family: Transfer RNA (tRNA) molecules are approximately 80 nucleotides in length. Their secondary structure includes four short double-helical elements and three loops (D, anti-codon, and T loops). Further hydrogen bonds mediate the characteristic L-shaped molecular structure. tRNAs have two regions of fundamental functional importance: the anti-codon, which is responsible for specific mRNA codon recognition, and the 3' end, to which the tRNAs corresponding amino acid is attached (by aminoacyl-tRNA synthetases). tRNAs cope with the degeneracy of the genetic code in two manners: having more than one tRNA (with a specific anti-codon) for a particular amino acid; and 'wobble' base-pairing, i.e. permitting non-standard base-pairing at the 3rd anti-codon position. RNAcentral also lists the same sequence under 3 other names. Lineage: Bacteria; Bacillati; Bacillota. The record is from RNAcentral.